Molecule: ribosomal RNA, 253 nt
Filed under: uncultured bacterium
Lineage: Bacteria
Description: partial 16S ribosomal RNA
Rfam family: Bacterial small subunit ribosomal RNA
Source: RNAcentral
UACGGAGGGUGCAAGCGUUGCUCGGAAUUACUGGGCGUAAAGCGCACGCAGGCGGUUUGAUAAGUCGGAUGUGAAAGCCCUGGGCUCAACCCAGGAACUGCAUUCGAAACUGCCAGACUUGAGUUCGGGAGAGAGGGGUGGAAUUCCUGGUGUAGAGGUGAAAUUCGUUGAUAUCAGGAGGAACACCGGCGGCGAAAGCGGCCCCUUGGCCCGAUACUGACGCUCAUGUGCGAAAGCGUGGGGAGCAAACAGG